This 4532-nucleotide long non-coding RNA is filed under the name Ananas comosus (pineapple). Its description in RNAcentral is "long non-coding RNA (ACOM_LNC011644)". Lineage: Eukaryota; Viridiplantae; Streptophyta; Magnoliopsida; Poales; Bromeliaceae. The record is from RNAcentral.
AUGGGUACGAUGAACUAUGGGAAUAGGAUGAGUGUAGAUGAAAAAGAUUUUCUAAAGUAAUUUAAAGCCCACUAAUAAACUUUGCUACAACAAUUAAGUGAAAGGAAAUAAACACUUUCAUUCAAAAACAUAGUUAAUCAAAAUUUACAAUCAAAGAACUUAAAUAGAAGAAAAACUUGAGGUUUUAGAAGAGUCAGCGAGAAUGAGAACGAUGUGAUGCCCGGCAGGCAAGAGGAGGUGAGGCCCGGAGAGUCAGCGAGGACCCGGCGGACAGGAGGAGGUGAGGCCCGGCGGGAUGGUCAUGUUCACUUUUUAGUAUGAAGUAACGAUUGUCGAAAAAAAAAUGCUACAAAAUAUGAGAUCUCAAUACAGUCUUGAUUUCUUUUCUUUAAUGUCUUGAUGUUGAAAAAUAAAAUUUCUUUUCCGUUUCUUGAGGAAAGUUUUUUCUUUGAUGUAUUGAUGUUGAAUUCAUUUUUUUGUACAAAAUAUAUUUAUGCCAAAAAUAAUUUUUAUGCAAAACAUAAAUUUCAAAUUUUGGUAUUUUCUUAAUUUUGAGAUAUCCAAUUUCUAAAAUAGAUUAAUUGAAACAACAUAUUAACAAUAUAUUAACAAUCUCUUGUGUAGAUUAAUUUAUUUAAAUUAUUUGGAUCCGUCCCAUUACUAACGGGUAAAAAUAAUGAAAGCGUUAAAUCUAACGGUGGAAAUAUCGUUAGUACCAAGACCUUAGUGUGAUCGAUAGUAUCCCAAACAGACUCUAUAUAUAUAUAUCCCCAAUUAAGUAUUCGCCCUGUUAGUCGCACGCUUUGAGUAUUCUCCCCGAAGGCCAGGAGAAUACGAGGUUGCUGAAAAGAGCCGGCGAGGAGUAGGAGGACUUGGGACGAGCUGCACUGGACGUCAUCUUUUCUUUCAUCUGUGCUCUAUAUAGAGUACCAGUUGGAAAAUGUUUCCUGUUUUCGGUUUAACAUCUCAUGUAUGAUCGAUGAAGGCUCACGUUCUUGUUCUUAACUUGCGCAUCUCGAUCGGCGGAGUCAGGGAGGAGGUUCCGAUGGUCUCAAGACAGAGAAGAGGAUCUGGCAAAUUCUCGUUCCCCACCAAUGUUGCGAUAGGAGAUCUCACCGACCACGAAAAACAGCUGAACCGUCCUGCCUCCUCCUCUACCUCGCCAAGACGACGCCAAUCCAAAGAAUCAAAUGUCACGACAGAACAAGAUGGUUCGCGCGCGUUUAUUAUGCUCUUUUUUUUUAUGAAUUCUUUAACCUUUUAUUCUUACAAGAAUUUCUUUUUCUUUCAGAUUUCGAUUCAAUAUUCCGGGAUGUCCCGCCAUGGAGAGGCCCAACCCGUGGAAAUCAAUAUAUUGAUGGGUACGAUGAACUAUGGGGAUGGGAUAGGUGUAGAUGAAAGAAAUUUUCUAAAGUAAUUUAAAGCUCACUAAUAAACUUUGCUACAACAAUUAAGUAAAAGAAAAUAAACACUUUCAUUCAAAAACUUAGUUAAUCAAAGCUUACAAUCAAAGGACUUGAAUAGAAUAAAAAACUUGAGGUUUUAGAAGAGUCAGCGAGAACGAGAACGAUGUGAUGCCCGGCAGGCAGGAGGAGGUGAGGCCCGGAGAGUCAGCGAGGACGACGUAAUGCCCGGCGGGCAGGAGGAUGUGAGGCCUGGCGGGUUGGUCAUGUUCAUUUUUUAGUAUGAAGUAACGAUUGUCGAAAAGAAAAUUCUACAAAAUAUGAGAUCUCAAUACAGUCUUGAUUUUUUUUCUUUAAUGUCUUGAUGUUGAAAAAUAAAAUUUUCUUUUCCGUUUCUUGAGGAAAGUUUUUUUCUUUGAUGUAUUGAUGUUGAAUUCAUUUUUUUGUACAAAACAUAUUUAUGGCAAAAAUAAUUUUUAUGCAAAACAUAAAUUUCAAAUUUUGGUAUUUUCUUACUUUUGAGAUAUCCAAUUUCUAAAAUAGAUUAAUUGAAACAACAUAUUAACAACAUAUUAACAAUCUCUUGUGUAGAUUAAUUUAUUUAAAUGAUUUGGAUCUGUCCCAUUACUAACGGGUAAAAAUAAUGAAUGCGUUAAAUCUAACGGUGGAAAUAUCGAUAGUACCAAGACCUUAGUGCUAUCGAUAGUAUCCCAGCCGGACUCUAUAUAUAUAUGCCCAAUUAAGUAUCCGCCCUAUUAGUCGCACGCUUUGGGCUUUAUUUGAGUGAGCGAAAGAGGGAGACUAUCUCAUCUCCUACUUCUUGCCUGAUAUCAAAGUGCAAAUAUAGCCUCAGGCUCUCCCGAAGGCCAGGAGAAGGUGAGGUUGCUUAAUAGAGCCGGCGAGGAGUAGGAGGACUUGGGACGAGCUGCACUGGACGUCAUCUUUUCUUUCAUCUGUGCUCUAUAUAGAGUACCUGUUGGAGAAUGUUUCCUGUUUUCGGUUUAACAUCUCAUGUAUGAUCGAUGAAGGCUCACGUUCUUGUUCUUAACUUGCGCAUCUCGAUCGGCGGAGUUAGGGAGGAGGUUCCAAUGGUCUCAAGAUGGAGAAGAGGAUCUGACAAAUUCUCGUUCCCCACCAAUUUUGCUAUAGGAGAUCUCACCGACCACGAGAAACAGCUGAACCGUCCUGCAUCUUCCUCUACCUCGCCAAGACGGCGCCAACCUCAAAAAUCAAAUGUCACGCCAGAACAAGAUGGUUCGCGCGCAUUUACUAUGCACUUUUUUUUUAUGGAUUCUUUAACCUUUUAUUCUUACGAGAAUUUCUUUUUCUCUCAGAUUUCGAUUCAAUAUUCCGAAAUGUCCCGCCAUGGAGAGGCCCAACCCGAGGAAAUCAAUAUAUUGAUGGGUACAAUGAACUAUGGGGAUUGGAUGGGUGUAGAUGAAAAAGAUUUUCUAAAGUAAUUUAAAGCUCACUACUAAACUUUGCUACAACAAUUAAGUGAAAGAAAAUAAACACUUUUAUUCAAAAACAUAAUUAAUCAAAGCUUACAAUCAAAGGACUUGAAUAGAAGAAAAAAGUUGAGGUUUUAAAAGAGUCAGCGAGAACGAGAACGAUGUAUGCCCGGCAGGCAGGAGGAGGUGAGGCCCGGAGAGUCAGCGAGAACGACGUAAUGCCUAGCGGGCAGGAGGAUGUGAGGCCCGGCGGAUUGGUCAUGUUCAUUUUUUAGCAUUAAGUAACGAUUGUCGAAAAGAAAAUGCUACAAAAUAUGAGAUCUCAAUACAGUCUUGAUUUUUUUUUUCUUUAAUGUCUUGAUGUUGAAAAAUAAAAUUUUUUUUCCGUUUCUUGAGGAAAGUUUUUUUCUUUGAUGUAUUGAUGUUGAAUUCAUUUUUUUGUACAAAACAUAUUUAUGGCAAAAAUAAUUUUUAUGCAAAACAUAAAUUUCAAAUUUUGAUAUUUUCUUACUUUUGAGAUAUCCAAUUUCUAAAAUAGAUUAAUUGAAACAACAUAUUAACAAUAUAUUAACAAUCUCUUGUGUAGAUUAAUUUAUUUAAAUUAUUUGGAUCCGUCCCAUUACUAACGGGUAAAAAUAAUGAAAAUGUUAAAUCUAACGGUAGAAAUAUCGAUAGCAGCAAGACCUUAGUGCUAUCGAUAGUCUCCCAGCUGUACUCUAUAUAUAUAUAUAUGCCCAAUUAAGUAUCCGCCCUGUUAGUCGCACGCUUUGGGCUUUAUUUGAGUAAGCGAAAGAGGGAGACUCUCUCAUCUCCUACUUCUUGUGUGAUAUCAAAGUGCAAAUAUGGCCUUAGGCUCUCUUUGGGAGAGCCGGCGAGGAGUAGGAGGAAUUGGGACGAGCGGCACUGGACGUCAUCUUUUCUUUUAUCUGUGAUCUAUAUAGAGUACCUGUUGGAGAAUGUUUCCUAUUUUCGGUUUAACAUCUCAUGUAUGAUCGAUGAAGGCUCACGUUCUUGUUCUUAACUUGCGCUUCUCGAUCGGCGGAGUCGGGGAGGAGGUUCCGAUGGUCUCAAGACGGAGAAAAGGAUCUGGUAAAUUUCCGUUCCCCACCAAUGUUGCGAUAGGAGAUCUCACCGACCACGAGAAACAGCUGAACCGUCCUGCCUCUCCUCUACCUCGCCAAGACGGCGCCAACCCCAAGAAUCAAAUGUCACGCCAGAACAAGAUGGCUCGCGCGCGUUUACUAUUCUCUUCUUUUUUUAUGGAUUCUUUAACCUUUUGUUUUUACGAGAAAUUCUUUUUCCCGCAGAUUUCGAUUCAAUAUUCCCGGAUGUCCCGCCAUGGAGAGGCCCAACCCUUGGAAAACAAUAUAUUGAUGGGUACGAUGAACUAUGGGAAUAGGAUGAGUGUAGAUGAAAAAGAUUUUCUAAAGUAAUUUAAAGCCCACUAAUAAACUUUGCUACAACAAUUAAGUGAAAGGAAAUAAACACUUUCAUUCAAAAACAUAGUUAAUCAAAAUUUACAAUCAAAGAACUUAAAUAGAAGAAAAACUUGAGGUUUUAGAAGAGUCAGCGAGAAUGAGAACGAUGUGAUGCCCGGCAGGCAAGAGGAGGUGAGGCUCGGAGAGUCAGCGAGGACCCGGCGGACAGGAGGAGGUGAGGCCCGGCGGGAUGGUCAUGU